This is a long non-coding RNA of Anolis carolinensis (green anole), 1133 nucleotides long. RefSeq lists it as uncharacterized. Lineage: Eukaryota; Metazoa; Chordata; Lepidosauria; Squamata; Anolidae. The record is from RefSeq and is a predicted model, not a curated record. The transcript is spliced from 3 exons.
UUAACAGAUACACCUGUGUGUUUUCUUCACAAACAGCAUAUGAAUUAGAACACCCUAAUGCCUUCCAGGUGUUUUCAACUUCAGCUCCCAGAAUCCCUGAGUAUUGGAACAGCUGGCUAGGGCUUCUUGGAGUUGGAGGCCCACAGGUUGUGCAAGCCUGCUGUGAAGGAUGCAUGACACCUUGUCAACAAUAUAACUUUGAACAGGAUAUGUUAUUCUCCUUGUGGCAAGAGCAACAGGUUCUAAGACCUAUCCCUUGGGACUCCGAGACCUCAUUCUUCCACUUUCUUUUCUGAAUAGUAGAUGUAUGAAGAAGGAAGACUACCAGUCUAAGAAAUACUCGUUCUCUCUACCAACGGCACAAGAAUUUCAAGAAGGCUGAUAAAUGGAAGAACUAGAACUUUCAAACUGCUAGACAAAUUUACAGAAUCUGUACUUGCAUUGGUGUGGGUUUCCCCUUUUCCCACAUUAUCAAGAAAGGCAAAACAAUCAAAGCAAAAAUGUCAAGCAUUAUGUAUUUACAAAAUUGUUUAUGAUCCCCCCCCCCCGGGCUCCUGGGAGCCCCUAUAGUAAAGGUAAAGGUUUUCCCCUGACAUUAAGUCUAGCCAUGUCUGACUUUGGCGGUUGAUGCUCAUCUCCCUUCCUAAGCUGAAGAACCAGCAUUGUGCGCAGACACCUCCAAGGUCAUGUGGCCAGCAUGACUGCAUGGAGCGCAGUUACAUUACCCCUGGAGCGGUACCUAUUGAUCUACUCACAUUUGCAUUUGGUUUUUGAACUACUACCCUGUUUCCCCUAAAAUAAGACAUCCCCAGAAAGUAAGACUUAGUAGAGGUUUUGCUGAAUUGCUAAAUAUAAGACCUCUCCUGAAAGUAAGACCUAGCAAAGUUUUUGUUUGGAAGCAUGCCCACCAAACAGAAUACCAGCUCAUGCAGGAUUGGUAAAUGUACAUACCAUAAAGUGUUGUACAUGGAAAUAUUGGUAGUAACAAGAAAUUCUUGAUAGGAUUCACAGUUGGUCUGGUUAUGCUGGUUUAUGAUGACAACUACUGUACAGUAUAUAAUUGCUCGUUUUUUUUGUUCAACAAUAAACGUGAAUUCUUCUUCAUGGAAAAAUUAGACAUCCCCUGAAAAUAA